Molecule: ribosomal RNA, 254 nt
Filed under: uncultured bacterium
Lineage: Bacteria
Description: partial 16S ribosomal RNA
Rfam family: Bacterial small subunit ribosomal RNA
Source: RNAcentral
GACAGAGGGUGCUAGCGUUGUUCGGAAUUACUGGGCGUAAAGGGCGCGUAGGCGGCCACCGCAAGUCGACUGUGAAAUCUCCGGGCUUAACCCGGAAAGGUCAGCCGAUACUGCGGGGCUAGAGUGCAGAAGGGGCAACUGGAAUUCUCGGUGUAGCGGUGAAAUGCGUAGAUAUCGAGAGGAACACCUGCGGCGAAGGCGGGUUGCUGGGCUGACACUGACGCUGAGGCGCGAAAGCUAGGGGAGCGAACGGG